Molecule: ribosomal RNA, 403 nt
Filed under: Verrucomicrobiota bacterium
Lineage: Bacteria; Pseudomonadati; Verrucomicrobiota
Description: Verrucomicrobia bacterium partial 16S ribosomal RNA
Rfam family: Bacterial small subunit ribosomal RNA
Source: RNAcentral
UGGGGAAUAUUGCACAAUGGGCGCAAGCCUGAUGCAGCAACGCCGCGUGAACGAUGAAGGUCUUCGGAUCGUAAAGUUCUGUUGCAGGGGAAGAUAAUGACGGUACCCUGUGAAGAAGCCCCGGCUAACUACGUGCCAGCAGCCGCGGUAAUACGUAGGGGGCUAGCGUUAUCCGGAUUUACUGGGCGUAAAGGGUGCGUAGGUGGUCUUUCAAGUCGGUGGUUAAAGGCUACGGCUCAACCGUAGUUAGCCUCCGAAACUGGAAGACUUGAGUGCAGGAGAGGAAAGUGGAAUUCCCAGUGUAGCGGUGAAAUGCGUAGAUAUUGGGAGGAACACCAGUAGCGAAGGCGGCUUUCUGGACUGCAACUGACACUGAGGCACGAAAGCGUGGGUAGCAAACAGG